This 5451-nucleotide long non-coding RNA is filed under the name Sus scrofa (pig). RNAcentral describes it as "lncRNA (ENSSSCG00030043562.1)". The record is from RNAcentral. Lineage: Eukaryota; Metazoa; Chordata; Mammalia; Artiodactyla; Suidae.
GCAGUUUGCGGACCCAAGGGCCAGGCGGCGACUGUUUCCUCGGCACAGCACAAAGGCGGCUCGUGAAGAGAGGUGCGGGCAGGUAGCUGAAGUCUGGGGGAGGGCGGUGCUGGCGGCUUCAAGAGUCUCUGCACACGCCCCUCCAACGAACAGCCAAAUGUCUGGAAAAUAAAAGGAUGACCAGUGGAGAAAGAAACGUAACCAAUAAGAGAUAUGUGAGGAGAUUUAUUAUGAUAAACUGCUCACAGAUUAUGGACCCUGAGAAGACCCACAGUCUACCACCUGCAAGUUGGAGACUCAGGAAAGCCAGCGGUGUCAUUCCACUCUGAGUUUGAAAGCCUGAGAAUCAGGGCAGCUGAUGGUAUAAAUCCUAGUCUGAAGACAAGGGAAGACCAAUAUCCAGCUCAGGGAGCAGACAGAAAGCAAAAGGGGGUUCACAGCCAGUCCAGGACAGGCUCCACAUGUCAGGCGUGGACGAAGUUGUGCAGAAGUGUAAUUACGUCGUGGUCAAUGCAGUGUUCGCUUUUGUAAGUCAGCGCAAAACAUGCCACAGACACAUUCUGUGAAUAACGUUCUGUGGCUAAAAUUCCUUGUAAUGAAAACACAAAGUUAUAUGAAAUAGAAUGACACUUGCUACUCCAGUUAACUCCACUCUGUACCUGGGGGUUCUGACUCCAUAUGUGGUUUUGGCGGUGUGUUGCUGUGCUAGAUCCUUCCACAUUCAACAAGUGGCAGACUAUGUAAAAGGUAAGAGUCCCCAGGGCAAAGUCACUGAGCCAUGAUAUCUGUAAUUUAUACUGGGGCAUCUGAAACCUGUAUGAGAAUUUUCAAGAAACCCAUAGGAAUGGGAAUAUCACAUACAAAUUGAGCACAAUGAGAAACUUUUUAAUAGGGUCCAAGGGAGAACAAAAGAGGUAGAUCUCCACAGCCUCGGAAGAGUCAACAGCAGUGGAAAGAAGGCAAGUUUUUCCCAGAGUCCUCAUGUGGAGCACCUGUGCCCUUUCUUUCCAUCUGAUCUCCUAACACAGAGAAGCACAACCUCAGAGAAUACAGCUUGUCCCCCACGGACUUGUUCCUGGCCCCUGAAGUUGUCCUCAUAGGGGGUCCCUGGGCUCCAUCUGCAGCUAUUCUGCCAACCCCCUUCCUACAACCAAGCUCCCCAGGCACAAUCUUGGUCAGGAACAACUUAAGGAAAUUGAGCCUGGAAUUCAGUGUCUGCUUUAGUUCUGAUACUCAGGCUUGUUCCAUCCCUAUUCAUUGGUCUUAGAACUGCCUCCCUGCUGUAUUUCUUCUCCUUGUCUUGGUGAUUUAUCUCUUAAGGGUCCUUCAAGAACUAAAGCUCACCUCGUUACUAUUUUCAGCCUCCAGGCCUCUUUUGGACCUCAGAUGAAGGGCUGGGACUGUCAGUCCCUGACAGUUUCUGGAUUCUUCAGCAUUAUGCCCCAAAGCUGGCAGCCUUCUGGUUGGACUACAGCCAGGUCAGAUACAGACUUCCUUUGCUGUUAGGCUUGGCCUAUACCCCUAUUGCCUGCCUGCCGCCGCCGUAUAGGCAGAAGCAGCUCCCAAAUCUUCCCUUUCCCAUCCAUCCUGCCUUCUUCAGGUUAACUAGGUCAUUUCAGACAGUGUCCCAAGGUAGGAAGGCUUGAGCUCAAGAGGCUAACUUCUUCCUGCUGAGUGCUAACUGCAGCUAGAAGAGUAAUUCCUAUAGCUCUGUAUCAAGAUGCUUCUUCUUUUGUGACUGCCAUGCUCUUCAGGCUUUAUUUAGGACUGUUAAUGUCAUGUACGCUAUUUACUGGUCAAAUUAAGACUAUUAUUAUAGAGUCACUGAAAGUCUUGAUUUUAAAGAUAACUUCAUGUUUUAGGAAAAUAAUCAUGAUUUAAUGUUUGGGGGGCAAGCAGGAUACAGAACUAUGUCAAGCUGUGUGAGCUCAUUGUGGCAGACAUCAUGUGGGAUUUGGGCUGCUCAGUAUCUAAACUCCCUUCCCAGGUUUAAGGAAUUUCCCACCAUGUGAUUCUACAUGUGCAGUGAAGGCCCCCUACCUUUAGAGAAGCAAAGAAUUAAGAGGCCUUUCUGUCACUGCUCCCUGACAGCUGGGGCAGGCAUGUGGCCUUGACUCAAUUAAGCACCCACCCAGACUUGGAAUUGGGGACCAGCGAUUCACAGAAGCAAGGACUAUGGAAACUCCAUCCUAUCAGUGAAGGUGACACAGUUACCAGGGCAGCAGGGCUGUCAGGGCCAGCAGAACCAGCAUUGUAUCUGGCCUCUGGUUCUGUUUCAGUUAUUGUAUUUUGCAUCUCUUCUUGCUUAAGUUUUAUAUUUUGUAUCUCUUUGCUCAGUGUUUCCUGUAAAUUAUCCGUCUUUGCCUCCAGUUUAUUUCUAAUGUCUUGCAUCAUCUUCUGCAUCAACAGUCUAAAGUCUUUUUCCUGGAGGCUGAGAAUCUUCUAAUCACUUAGCUGUUUUUCUGGGAUUUUUUUUCUUUCUCCCUUCUCUGACUUAUAGUUCUCUGUCUUUUCAUUUUUAUAGGUUUUUGGUCUGGUGACUUUUUUUACAGAUAAUAGAGUUGUAGCCUCUCUUAAUUCUGGCAUCCGCCCCCCUUGUGGCUGAAGUUGGUAUAGGGGCUUGCUGUAGGCUUCCUAAUGGGAGGGACUGAUGCCUGUCCGCUGGUAGGUGGUGCUGAUUCCUAUCCCUCUGGUGGGUGGGGCUUUGUCUCUGGGUGAGAUUAGAGGCACUGGAGUGCCUGGGGGGUCUUUAGGCAGCCUGUUUACUGAUGGGCAGGGCUGUGAUCCCACCUGGACUGUUGUUUGGCCUGAGGCUUCUCAGCCUGAUGGGUGGAGCCAGAUUUUCCCAAAAUGGCCACCUCUCGAUGUGGCCUCCUCUUUGUCUUCUGGAGUAGGAUAUCUUGUUGAAAGUUUCCAGUCCAUUUGGUUGAAGGUUGUUCAGCAUUUGGUUGUAAAUUUUGUUGUUUUUAGGAGAGAAGUUGAGCUCCAGUCCUACUAUUCUGCCAUCUUAAUCCCAUCUCCUCUGGUUCUGUUUUUUUAAAACCCUCCUUUGUCAUUUUUACUCUUUUUCAGGACUGGUUCUCUAGGCUUUCCUGUGAAUUUCUGAACUAACAAAUAUCUUUUCAGUAAAUUCCUUUCUUCUUAAAGGAGUAACAGCUUUUUCUGUUCAUUGCAGCUAAGAAUUCUGACAAGUGUACCAAUGCUUUUUAAAAUGCAAAGAGAAAAGACUUGAUGUACACUCAUUGUUAAUGAUGGUUAUCUUUAGGUGUAUAGAAUCACAGAUCAUUUUAGUUUUCUUCUUUUUUCCUGGGAACAUUUCCUAAAAAUUUCAGUAAAGUGGUAUUACCUUAGCAGUCAAGAAAGAGCUAAGUUUUAAAAUUGGAGAUUUCCUUGGAUCUCUGAAGUCCUUAAUUGUUGGAAAACAAUUACCUUGAUUAAUCAAGUGGAAUUUUAUUUUGGCACCUGUGACUUCAGUUUUGGCUUGGGCAAGUCAUAGGUAUUGGGGUAAGAGAAAUGCCAAUAUAUUUUGUGAAAAAAAAAAAAAACCCCGAGACCAGUUCUUACCUCGCAAUCCUGGUCUACUUAUAUUUUUUAUUUGUUUUAGAACUCUAUAGUCCUUUGAUGGGAGGCCUGAGAAUAUUGGACUAUUUUUAGAGAACUUUAACCCAAUUCCAAGCAAUAAGGAGUUUCUUAACACUAAUGUUUAUAAAUGUGUAUAAGCACAGGAACACUGCUCGUAUGAUUCUUUGUUGGUUUCUCCUAAGUAGCUAUCCCAACAGUUUUGUGAAUACUGUAAAUAAUAGUCUAAAAAUACCAGGAUAUUGAACCUACCAGUAAUUCGUGCAGUUGGCUGAGCAGCUACCAGCAAUGGUGUGAGUAACACAGUGGAAACUGUAUAAUGGUGUCCUUCGUUAGAACUAAAUCCCAGCUAUCAAGAGAAAACAAAGAUCACCAUUGAUAGGAAGCAGUGGUCGUCUUGUUUCUAUAAGAGCCUGGGGAGUUUUCAGUAUCCCCGCCUCCCUCUAGGAGAUUGCCUGCUUUUGACCAUGGGUGAGAGAUCAAAGUUACAUGGGAUGAGAGUCUCUUGCCCCUCCAUCAACACUGCUGAGACAGCAGUCAAGGGAACUCUGAAUCUGAUCCAGUUGUGAUCACUGAGUUGCUGCAGCCCUCAGAGUGUGGGGACCCUAUUGAUCAUGCCAAAUGAAGCAUCAAAGCACAGUAAAAUGGAAGAAGCAUAGCAUUUAGUCCAAUGGACUUGGUGUUAGAGCCCAGUCCAAAUAGCCACCAGCUGAUCACAUGAGGCUUUCUGAGCCUCGGUUUCACUACAGAAUGUAGAUAAAAGAAACACCUCAUAGUAUCAAAGGAAAUAGCCCAUGUAAAACUCUGAGUACAGUUUCUGGCUUAUAAUGGGUACUCAGUAAAUGGGACUUCUCUUCCAUCCAUGAGCUCUGCUCCCUUUAUUUUUCUGGGAAAUCCUUUAUCUUUUAGAAAGAGUGACUUCAGAUGCAAUUCUUGCAGAGAUAGUUAUUUUUUCCCAACCUCUCAAAUCUAGUAAAAUGCUAAAAUUACCUUCUAAUUAUUUUCUGGAAAGAGGUGCCUUGCCUGAACCAUGAAAAAUUAUCAAAAAAGGGAAACAUUCGUAGCUCAAUGAAUGAUCUGUGUCAAUAUUGCGUGUGACAAAUAUAUCAUCAUUUAACAUGUAGGAAUCAGCAUUAAAGUGCAGGGAAAAGGUAUUAGAGCAAGCCCAUGAGGUUGAAUAGUGCAACAAAAAAAGAUUGACAUUUGCUUGGUGAGGAUGCCAAGCUUGAGUGAUAAUCAACACUUUCUUCUGCUUGUUGAAUAAGAGGAAUACUCCGUAUUGAGCAAAAUGCCUUCAUAAACUGCUUGGGUGUAGCUAAUUUAUUUGGACAUUAAGAUAUAGUUUUCCCAUAUCCUUCCAAAUAGCAUUUUUGUUGCCAAUAUGUAAAUGGGUCUCCAGUCUCUCAGAAGGUGACACAAGAAAAGAAGUGCAGAAAAGAAGGAAAAUCAAACUAGAAAAGAAAAGAAGCCCUGUCCAAAAAAAUCAAUAAUUUUGCUACUGAGAAAUUGCUACCAUCCUUAUUCAGGAAGGGGUGGAAAGAUCAGACCAAGCUAACUUGUGUGAUAAAUGAGUUUAUAAAGUAGCCUGUACCAGGAGACUAAUUUAAUUGGCUGCUUAAAGUCUGAUAAUAUACCAUGCUACUACAAAUUUUUUCCUUUAUUUUAAUCUUCAAUUUAAGCUGAGUAUAAGGCACACCAUGUCUGCCUAAUGGGACAAGGAACACCAAUUGCUGCUGGGGGCAUACAACCACCUGUGGUAGGAAUUCCCUUUUGGCACAGAAAGUUAAGGAUCCAGCAUUGUCACUGCAGUGGCUUGGGUCACUUCUGUGGUGUGGCUUCGAUUCCUGGCCUGGGAACUUCCAUAUGCCAUGG